Molecule: long non-coding RNA, 3690 nt
Organism: Gallus gallus (chicken)
Lineage: Eukaryota; Metazoa; Chordata; Aves; Galliformes; Phasianidae
Source: Ensembl
GCAGAGGCAGCGGCCGCGCUUUGUGUGAGCCAUGGGAGCAGAGCUGCAGAGGAAGUGACUCAUCCCGCUGUGCUGUGCGACGUGCUUAGGGAUACACCACCGGGCUUCUUGGAAACGCAGCCUGCAGGCCUGCUGCGGGCAGUGAGUCCUGGGGCGCUGUGUGUGCCCGGGGUGAGCGGCUGCUGCUGCUGCUGGUGGCUGCGGGGAGUGUGGCAGCGUGGCUUUGGAGCAGCUGGGUUUGCCUCGUACUGCUGGGGGCUGGCUGAAGUGCGAUCGGAAAAGGAGAAAUUGGCUCAUCGUAAGGAUUCUGAAUCAUGGGCACUUCUCCAAAAAGUGUUUCUGUUCAGGGGCUGGAGGUGCUUUCCCAGAAGCUGUCAGGACUCACCAGCCCUCUGCGCCCUGCCUGAGCCGAUGAAAAGGGCCAAAUGCUAAAACAGAAUAAAACCAACGGGAGGGAGUCGAGGGAAACAAAGCACCAUCAGAAGGCUCCAGGAAGCCGAUGAGCCCCUAUGUCUGCUUUUAUGUCAGCGUGGUGUUUUCCAGAGCGUGUGAGCAUGCGGGGAAGCUCUGGUUGAGGCAGCCGGGAGGCGCGGCACUGUGCGGCACAGCCCGCUGCUGCGUGCUGACAGCGUCGGUCCCUCUCUGUGUCUUCUCGGUGCUGCCCUUGUAGGGGGUGACCAAUUAAAGUGGAUUGGCCUUAGCUGUACCAUCUGCUGUGAGAAGGAGCAGUUCUUGGUGAGGAUUUGGCAAAUCGCAUACAGUGGGUUUUCAAAUCCUGCAGGAGCUUAACUCGUUUAGGAACAAAGCGAGUCUCAGGCGGAGCUCGUGUAUCUGCCAAAGGAUGAUGCUGAGUUUUUCCUUUUUAUCUCUUUGCUUUUGUGAAGUGAAUUUCCCCGCCUGGGUUUCAGCAGGUCCUGCAGACUCUUGCACACGAGGUUGGCUCAGCUGAUGAUGAAGACAGUGCAUGGGCCCACCAAGUUUAGGUCUAUGUGUGAUGCAGUAUUUGCGCAUUUGCUUAAUGGGAUGGGGAAACCACACACAGCGGUCUCUGUUGGUGUGACGGCAUGAUGGUAAAAAGAGGCUUUUGCAUUAAAAUCCAUCCCGCCCUUUUGAACCUGUUGAAAUGUGGAACAGACACGUGCAUGUUUGUGCGGAUGACAACUUGGUGUUUACAAGUCAGUGAUCAUCAGCCCAUCUCUGCAGCUCUUCCUUCACGGCUCAGAAGCUGGUUUCAUUGCUGUUGAUUUUGUGAAGCCCUUAAGCAAUCUCUCCCCUUCUGUUUUGGUCAUUUUGCUUCACAUCUUAAAAGCUUUUCUCUUAGCGGCCGUGUUUAAGUGCUUUGGGAUGACUUUUGCUACAUUUUACAGCUGCACUGCCCCAGGGCUCCGUUAGAAGCCUUGCUGAUUGAGCUGAAGGAACCGUGUUGGAUCACAUCUGUUUCUGUGCUACCUUACGUCCCUAGGUUGGAAAGGAGAAAGCAGCAGAUGCCAAUUUGCUCAUACAAAUAGGAAAGAAGCAUUUUAAGACGUGACUUUUUACUGUGAGUCAGUGAAGGUGUGAAGCAUUCAUUUGAAACGAUUUAGAGGGGAUGAAACUGUUCCAAAAUAAUUCCUUCUCGAGUCUGUAGCGUACCAGCAUCUCAGGACUUGACGUACAGUUUUAUCUUGGAGUCCCGGAGGGACGGCCUUGAGUGUGCAUGAGGCCGAGUUUGCCUUAUUCCAUAAAAUUACACGCCCUGACCUUUGUGGGAGAUCUCGUCUCACUUUGAAGGCUGGAGUUACUGCGGGUAUCCUUAUCUGUGCAGCUGUGCCCCUGCACAGAGCUGGGCCUGGCUCUGAGCUCAGCUCCACACGGGGCUGUGCCGUGUCCCGUCUGCACACAGCCUGGGAUACUGCGCUGCUCACUGCUCCACCACGAGGGUUAAACAAACACGAUGUAGAAUUCUUCUGCAAAAACACAGCUCAUUUCCUUAGGAAUUUGCUUCCGAGGGGAUUGUGAGAUAUUCUCCCUCUACUGAUUUAAAUGACAGGAAUAGCUCUGUCCUGUGUCUGCAAACAGAACUGUGAGCCUGGAGAAGAACUCCAGCAGCCGUACAGCUUGGGUGAGCCCAUUGUAAACGGAAUGAAUUGCAUCAGCGCCUGCAAAACCGAACUUCCUUUAAAUCCGAUGGUCCCUCCUCGGAAUAAUGAAAAUACCCCGGGCUUUCUUCGUGCACCAUUUCCAAGCUGUUUUGGCCUGACCACGAGGAACAGCUUCCGGAGCAGAAGAGCCCCAGCAGCGCUCUGCCUUCCCAAUGGGCCGCGGCUGUGUGAGCAGCAGUGAUGUGACGGGCAGGGCCGUGCCCAUGGCUGAACGACACAGCCUCAGAGUCCCAUUGGCACUGAGACUUAGGCUGUUUGCCUUCUGUGCUGCUGGCUGAUCACACUUGGUAUGAGCCCGGUGACUACUGCAGUAGCAAUUAAAUACUGCAGAAGCUACCGGGGGUGUUCCUGGAUGUGGUCAGCGUGUUGGGACCAAACAGGACUGAACGUGGCGGUGACAGCUCCUCGUGAGCAGGAGCUCGGAUUCGAGGGCUGGAUCAAACAAUACGUGCUGCUGCUUCCUCAGAGGCUGCGUGCCCUUUGGCUGUGUUUUUUUAAUCUCUGUUUACUAUAGAAAUAGCUCGAGGAGAUUGUGCUGCGUCAUUCGGUUCCCUGCCAGGGUGUAUUUUAGUUAAAGGCAAACGAGAAAAUGUGCGAGUGCAGGAGAGUGGCUGUAACUUCCAUGGCAUAAGCAAAGGACAUUACAAAUUACGUGAGGCAGGGAGGAUCUGAGCACUGCAGAUCAAAUUUAGCCCCUUUGUCUGGAGACAUAAGAAAAGAGAAAAAUGGGCUUUUGCCAAUAUUGCCAUGCAGGGAGCUGCCAGGUGGCUGGGGAACGACCCGGCUGUGCUGCGGAAAUGCAGAAUCAGCAGAGGCUGCUUGCAAAGGAAACCCACGGAGCGCUGCGAGUGCACGGCAGCACCAGGAGCUGCAGGUGGGGAGAUGGGGAGCGGAUUUCAGCUGCCUUGGGAGGGAUGAUGCUGAGGGGAAACACAGCUCAUCCUGCAGUCAUGAGAGCGCUGGGGCUUCUGUGGGCUGCCAACAGUGGUGGGAAGCAGGAGCCACCACAGCUCACCAUUCAUACACACGUCUGGAGAUGAGGGGCUUGCUUUAGGCAGGGUGGGAGCUGGCAUGGCAGAGAGCUCCUCCAGGGGUGGUAAGGACUUGACAUAGGAACAGCAAAGACUGCAUCUUAUCUGGCACCAACACUUUCUCCUCACUGUCCCCUGGCAGCAGAAAGCACUGUCAGUUGCUUUGGAAGGAUUCAAAUGAAAAUCCUUUGAAGCAGCCAUCAGACUUCCUUCCUUUCCUCUUUUCCUCUGCUUUGUCAGCGAUGCUCUUUUCUGCUGACUUAGAGGCACGAAGCAGCCCAGCGCCUCUGCCUGUGCGGGUGGACAGGUGCACACAGGGCACUUGGAAUGCCAUCAGCCCUCAUUUCGGUUUGUCACAGGAGCUGCAAAACUGAUUUGCUCUACUGGAGGGAGAUUUUGCUGCUUGCUGAGCUGGCUGUAGUGAUUCAAUUGCAUCCUCAGGAUAUAUAGCUGAUGCUAAACCCAAUAUGUAUUAGUACAUGUUAGAAGAGAAAUCUAUAAUAAAAACCGUAUCCUGC